RNAcentral lists this ribosomal RNA (437 nucleotides) under uncultured bacterium. RNAcentral's name for it is "bacterial SSU rRNA". It matches the Rfam family "Bacterial small subunit ribosomal RNA", at positions 954 to 1392 of the family's 1533-position model. The record is from RNAcentral.
GCAUAACGCGAAGAACCUUACCAGGGCUUGACAUCCCUCUGACCCCUCUAGAGAUAGAGGUCCUCUUCGGAGCAGAGGUGACAGGUGGUGCAUGGUUGUCGUCAGCUCGUGUCGUGAGAUGUUGGGUUAAGUCCCGCAACGAGCGCAACCCUUGUCCUUAGUUGCCAGCAUUUAGUUGGGCACUCUAAGGAGACUGCCGUCGACAAGACGGAGGAAGGUGGGGAUGACGUCAAAUCAUCAUGCCCCUUAUGUCCUGGGCUACACACGUGCUACAAUGGAUGGUACAACGGGCUGCGAACUCGCGAGAGCAAGCCAAUCCCAAAAAACCAUUCUCAGUUCGGAUUGUAGGCUGCAACUCGCCUACAUGAAGUCGGAAUCGCUAGUAAUCGCGGAUCAGCAUGCCGCGGUGAAUACGUUCCCGGGUCUUGUACACACCG